GUGCCAGCCGCCGCGGUAACACGUAGGGGGCGAGCGUUGUCCGGAUUUAUUGGGCGUAAAGAGCUCGUAGGCGGUUUCGUAAGUCGGAUGUGAAAACUCCAGGCUCAACUUGGAGACGCCAUUCGAUACUGCGAUGACUUGAGUCCGGUAGGGGAGUGUGGAAUUCCUGGUGUAGCGGUGAAAUGCGCAGAUAUCAGGAGGAACACCGGCGGCGAAGGCGGCACUCUGGGCCGGUACUGACGCUGAGGAGCGAAAGCGUGGGUAGCAAACAGGAUUAGAUACCCCCGUAGUCC
This 293-nucleotide ribosomal RNA is filed under the name uncultured bacterium. RNAcentral's name for it is "partial 16S ribosomal RNA". It matches the Rfam family "Bacterial small subunit ribosomal RNA", at positions 505 to 796 of the family's 1533-position model. The record is from RNAcentral.